Non-coding RNA from Psilocybe cubensis, 87 nucleotides. Lineage: Eukaryota; Fungi; Basidiomycota; Agaricomycetes; Agaricales; Agrocybaceae. The record is from the annotation of a RefSeq genome assembly.
GACCCCCUAGCUCAGUGGUAGAGCGUGUGAUUCCAGCCAUUGAAUGGAAGUUCCACAAGGUCAUCCGUUCAACUCGGGUGGGGGUCA